GAUUUCACACCACUGUGCCUUAACCCUAUGGAGUCGCUGCCCGCCGUGCGGCGUACAAGCAUGUGACGCAUUAAUAAGGCUUCGUAAUAACAUGGACGCAUACCGAGUUUUCAUUUCGACUCUGUUGGACAGCACGGACUUCAAACUUUAUAAAAGUGGUGUUUUUAUAUUGGUUUUGUGGUUAUUUACUUCAAAAUAAAGCCAGAAAUAAGA
Molecule: long non-coding RNA, 213 nt
Organism: Poecilia latipinna (sailfin molly)
Lineage: Eukaryota; Metazoa; Chordata; Actinopteri; Cyprinodontiformes; Poeciliidae
Exons: 3
Source: RefSeq, a predicted model, not a curated record